RNAcentral lists this ribosomal RNA (494 nucleotides) under uncultured bacterium. RNAcentral describes it as "partial 16S ribosomal RNA". It matches the Rfam family "Bacterial small subunit ribosomal RNA", at positions 28 to 507 of the family's 1533-position model. The record is from RNAcentral.
GACGAACGCUGGCGGCGUGCUUAACACAUGCAAGUCGAACGGUGAAGCGCCUUCCUUUUUGGUGGGUGUGGAUGAGUGGCGAACGGGUGAGUAACACGUUAGUAACCUGCUCCCUUCUUCUGGAUAACCGCAUGAAAGUGUGGCUAAUACGGGAUAUUCUGGGUCUGUCGCAUGAUGGGUCUGGGAAAGAUAUUGUUUCGGUGGGGGAUGGGCUCGCGGCCUAUCAGCUUGUUGGUGGGGUGAUGGCCUACCAAGGCGGUGAGGGGUAGCCGGCCUGAGAGGGUGGACGGCCAGAGAGGGGCUACGGCACCGCGAAGACUGCGACAGGCGGCAGCAGUGGAGAAGAGUGAACAGUGGGAAGAAGGCUGAAGCAGCGACGCGGGGGGGGGGAUGGAGGCCGUCGGGUAAUGAACCUCUUUCGGCAGUGAAGCAGGCCUGCCUCGUAUGUGGGUGGGUUGACGGUAGCUGGAGAAGAAGCGCCGGCUAACUACGUG